This 264-nucleotide long non-coding RNA is filed under the name Homo sapiens (human). RNAcentral describes it as "HSALNT0311902". The record is from RNAcentral. Lineage: Eukaryota; Metazoa; Chordata; Mammalia; Primates; Hominidae.
CCAGAUGGAAGCUUUCCUCCUUUGGGGUCACGGGUGGAAAAAAGACUGUGUGAAACCAUGGAUGGCCUGCAACCACUUUGAAGAGGAAGAUGAUCAUGUCUCUUCACAAUUCUCAGGCUUGGCAUGGCCUUAUUGAAGUUUAUUCUGAGAAUCCAUUUAAAGGGAUGGAAGAUUGAUGUCCAUGGCAUCCUCUGAACCUAAGAUCCUAAGACAUGUCACCCAUAAUCUGGUCACACCAUCCAAAAGAAACCCUGAAGGCACAGG